UUGGCUGCAGAAGUGUAGAAGAGGAGCCUAGAGGCUCAUGCACUACAGAAUUUGAAGCAACUGCUAUAGGAUUUCCUUCCAACUGCAACAUGAUACUCCCCAAUAUUUCAGUUAAUAUUUUCUUGAAUUCUUCUUCUUUCACCAACUUUGCAUCAUCUGCACUCACCAACUUGAACACUUCACCAAUUACCUUAUCCAUCUGCAAAAACAAAUACACAUGCACAAAUAUUCAAUUCAAUUUCAGUCUCAAUUAGACAUAUGAAGCAACAAAAUGAUGAAAAAGUGUGAGAGAAUAGACAACACACCUCUUCAAUUGCACCAAAUGGAGGUAAAGCAGCAGAUGGAGCCACCGUGUCCAGCGCCACGCGUAGUAUGAAUUAUUGGCUACCCAAGAAUCAGAAGUAGGAGGAAUCCCUUGAUCAACAUUGAGUUUGCUGAGAGCUUGAAUUAUAAGAUCAUGAAGAGAUUUUUGAGGUGAUUCAAUUUGAGAGAAUAUGGAAACUAUCUCUGGUUCAUAACUUGGACCAUUAAGAAACUCGAGAAGAUCUUCGCCAUCAAUGCGAAGUAUCACAAUUGGAUCACGUUUGAGUCCAGCAGCCAUGCCCAACAGAAUGUCUGAGAGAACCUCUUUGAACUCAGUCUUGCUCACUUUUUCUUGCUUUCCAUGUGUGAAUUCAUUCAAUACCUAAAGAGUUAAUAUGUCAAUUGUCAAGAAAAAUUGUCAUUUCUUGUUUCCUUAUUGGUUCAAUAUAACGGCUAAUCAAAGACAAAGACAGAUUCUUAUCAGCACUAAGGAAUAAACAAAAAUUAUUAAAAAUUACAGUAUGUGUAUAUAAUAUCAACAAAUGCAUGUAUGUGUGUAUGUAUUUCAUUCAAAUUGACUUAAUGUGUGGUUUCACAUAUAUAUUGAUUGAUUG
RNAcentral lists this long non-coding RNA (917 nucleotides) under Medicago truncatula (barrel medic). RNAcentral's name for it is "lncRNA gene24105". The record is from RNAcentral. Lineage: Eukaryota; Viridiplantae; Streptophyta; Magnoliopsida; Fabales; Fabaceae.